UGGGGAAUAUUGCACAAUGGGGGGAAACCCUGAUGCAGCGACGCCGCGUGAGCGAAGAAGUAUUUCGGUAUGUAAAGCUCUAUCAGCAGGGAAGAAAUUGACGGUACCUGAGUAAGAAGCUCCGGCUAAAUACGUGCC
This 138-nucleotide ribosomal RNA is filed under the name uncultured bacterium. RNAcentral's name for it is "partial 16S ribosomal RNA". It matches the Rfam family "Bacterial small subunit ribosomal RNA", at positions 355 to 509 of the family's 1533-position model. The record is from RNAcentral.